CGGUGAGGUAGAGGAGCGAUCAUCAAGAGUAUUCAAUGGAAGCAAUGACAAGCUAUGAACAUUGGAGAAAGGGGUGAUUGCCGAAGACUGUGGUUGAGAGUCAAUCAAUCUUAGUCUGGUGUAGUUUCUCUUAAGAGGAGAUACACUGUCAUGCAUGCUCAUUUGGGUGCAUGGGGCGCUACUGAUCGA
RNAcentral lists this non-coding RNA (189 nucleotides) under Halobacillus sp. Its description in RNAcentral is "Lysine sequence". It matches the Rfam family "Lysine riboswitch aptamer". From Rfam's summary of the family: Riboswitches are metabolite binding domains within certain messenger RNAs that serve as precision sensors for their corresponding targets. Allosteric rearrangement of mRNA structure is mediated by ligand binding, and this results in modulation of gene expression. This family includes riboswitches that sense lysine in a number of genes involved in lysine metabolism, including lysC. RNAcentral also lists the same sequence under 1 other name. The record is from RNAcentral. Lineage: Bacteria; Bacillati; Bacillota; Bacilli; Caryophanales; Bacillaceae.